UCGAAGUAAAAGGUAAAGACUUAAAGAGAGCGAGAGCUUUGUGUAGUUUUUAGUGUCUCACAGACAAUGAUAAAACACACAUGGAUAAUAUGAUACCUGCUACAUUAGAUUAACUGCUUCAUCUGAAAUGCCUGGAAAGUCGUGGAUCCAGACCACCUUUUACAAGAGGGAAUGUGUGAAGUUUUUGCCAGCAUCACGAGAUCAUCACAGGUGUUCUCCGGUUUGCCAUGUCUGUCAAAACUUAGUCAGGUGCUGCUGUGGGAGGCUGAUAGGAGAGCAUGUGUACCUGGACUCCGCCUCCCCGGUGCUGUCCUCCUCCUCCUCCUCGUCCGGUCAGGAGGUAUGGUCCGUGGCUCGGCACACCAAACUCAGCCCAACCGACGCCUUUGGGUCCAUCGACUUCCAGGGCAGCACCAAGCGGUCCUGUCGCGCCAAGGUGUGUGGUGGUGUCCCUGGAGCCGGUUUAUUACGAUAAAAACACAAAUUACACAUUCGUUAUUAUUCAACUUGUUUCAUCACAAUGCUCAAAGUGUCGAACUAUAACAAACUGUCCCGCAUCACACACAUUGCCUCAAAGAUCAUAGGCCUCCCCUCACAUAACCUGACAACCCUAAAUAACAAGGCCAUCUGAGGAAGGGCUAUCACAAUAACACAAGACCCGGACCACCCAUUAUACACUGUUUUCACUUUGCUCCCAUCAGGUCAGAGAUACAGAACAAUAGCUUGCAGAAAAACACGCUUU
RNAcentral lists this long non-coding RNA (742 nucleotides) under Astyanax mexicanus (Mexican tetra). RNAcentral's name for it is "lncRNA (ENSAMXG00005004959.1)". The record is from RNAcentral. Lineage: Eukaryota; Metazoa; Chordata; Actinopteri; Characiformes; Acestrorhamphidae.